This 241-nucleotide ribosomal RNA is filed under the name uncultured bacterium. RNAcentral describes it as "partial 16S ribosomal RNA". It matches the Rfam family "Bacterial small subunit ribosomal RNA", at positions 524 to 761 of the family's 1533-position model. The record is from RNAcentral.
UACGUAGGGGGGCAAGCGUUGUCCGGAAUCAUUGGGCGUAAAGCGCGUGUAGGCGGUUCGAUAAGUCUGCUGUGAAAGUCCAGGGCUCAACCCUGGGGAUGCCGGUGGAUACUGUCGGGCUAGAGUACGGAAGAGGCGAGUGGAAUUCCCGGUGUAGCGGUGAAAUGCGCAGAUAUCGGGAGGAACACCAAUUGCGAAGGCAGCUCGCUGGGACGUCACUGAACGCUGAGACGCGAAAAGC